This 412-nucleotide long non-coding RNA is filed under the name Manihot esculenta (cassava). RNAcentral's name for it is "long non-coding RNA (MESC_LNC010491)". Lineage: Eukaryota; Viridiplantae; Streptophyta; Magnoliopsida; Malpighiales; Euphorbiaceae. The record is from RNAcentral.
AAACAGAUCAGCACAGAAAAGGAAACAGUUGAGAACCUUCAACAAGCUACUGCCGACAAUAUCUUGGUUGAAGAAGCAACUAAAAUGAUCCACCAAGAACGUAAGAUCAAGGUUGAAGAAAAUCAACGAGAUAAUGAAGUCACAAAUGGACAGGUCGGAUAGAGAAUCAGACAACUUGCUUUCCUUUUUUGAGUUUUUAUUUAUUUUUUGCUUUUCUAAAAAGUGUAGAAACAUUUAUAAUUGUUAACUGAGAGGGAAAAAAUAACAGAUCAUGGAAGAGAAUGAUGACAAGAAAUGUGAGGAAAUAACCAACGAUGAAGACAGAGCUAAAGAGAGCUACCAAGAUCACGAGAUAAAGGGUGCAGAAAGUCUCGGAGACGAGGCAUUGACAACGGCAACACAAGAUGAAAGA